RNAcentral lists this ribosomal RNA (434 nucleotides) under uncultured bacterium. Its description in RNAcentral is "bacterial SSU rRNA". It matches the Rfam family "Bacterial small subunit ribosomal RNA", at positions 29 to 507 of the family's 1533-position model. The record is from RNAcentral.
AACGAACGCUGGCGGCAGGCCUAACACAUGCAAGUCGAGCGAGACCUUCGGGUCUAGCGGCGGACGGGUUAGUAACGCGUGGGAACGUGCCCUUCUCUGCGGAAUAGCCACUGGAAACGGUGAGUAAUACCGCAUACGCCCUUCGGGGGAAAGAUUUAUCGGAGAAGGAUCGGCCCGCGUUAGAUUAGAUAGUUGGUGGGGUAACGGCCUACCAAGUCUACGAUCUAUAGCUGGGUUUUAGAGGAUGAUCAGCAACACUGGGACUGAGACACGGCCCAGACUCCUACGGGAGGCAGCAGUGGGGAAUCUUAGACAAUGGGCGCAAGCCUGAUCUAGCCAUGCCGCGUGUGUGAUGAAGGUCUUAGGAUCGUAAAGCACUUUCGCCAGGGAUGAUAAUGACAGUACCUGGUAAAGAAACCCCGGCUAACUCCGUG